This 1612-nucleotide long non-coding RNA is filed under the name Malus domestica (apple). RNAcentral's name for it is "long non-coding RNA (MDOM_LNC015577)". Lineage: Eukaryota; Viridiplantae; Streptophyta; Magnoliopsida; Rosales; Rosaceae. The record is from RNAcentral.
AAAUAAGCCAACUUUCAAAAGCCCAAACACCAAAAAACCUUAAACCCUUUACUGCAACAAAAUACCCAAUAACUGUUUCGGAUGGCACACACCAAUUUUUAUCAUGAGAAAAAAGCAACCCCAAACCCAAAUUAAGCAUUUCAUAAAUCCUAAAUAGUGAAAAGAAUUUUUUUUUUGAAUGGGAAGCUCACCAAUGCUAUCAUAGGGCCUAAGUAGAGAGCGGUUCAACAAAAAGCCCCCAAAAGCAAAAUCAAAACCAAACACCCACAUACACAAUCGGAGGCUAUAAAUUAAAAACAAAAACAAAAUUUAAUAGAAACCCCAUUUGUAAAUCCAAAGAAUGUCUAGGUCCAGUGCAUUCUUUCUAAUAAUUGACACAAAAGAAAUAAAUAUAUAGCCAUGUUCAUGUAAUCCGAAGAGGAACAACCAUAUACCUGAGUUUUUUAGAUGAUUGGUCACCCUCUCCCCAAAUCCCCUGAACAUAAAAUUCUCAUGCGCUCGUUUGUUCCAUGUUGUGGUUUGCUCCCAUUCUGAUCCUUCUCUUUCUCCUAAUUGGAGACUCUAAUUUAAUUAAAAUCAAACAUUCAAACAACUUAUCUCUCAGUUGAUUGAUUGCUACCUAAUGAGGGCCAUUAAUACUUAUUUGUAAUUUAAUUAUCAAAAAAAUUAAAAACGCUUGAAUGUAUUUAACAAAUCGGUGAGCAGUUAAUUAGUACUCUUGACAAAUAUAUACCUGCUACUUAUCUAAGAUAUAAUUCAAUGUUGAAUCGAAAUCAAUAUUCACAUGAACUAAUUUAAACAACAAAAAUAACGAACUAAAUCAUUUACCCAAGAUAUAAAUUAACAUCACCAACUCGCCUAAAUUAAAAACUUACAUUGGUGAAAUAUACAACCCAAUGGCAAAGAACUCCCUGCAGUUAAUUCAAACGACAUUGACAAAAAAUCCCAAAAAAUCAAUAUUCUUACAGCCACUUCUAUCAUAUUUUAUAAACACACAAAAUGGCACACCCCGACUCGGAAUGUCCACUAGGACUCCGAAUCGAGCUGUGUUGGCCGACGCCUGGAAGGUGACGAAGCCAUAAAGUGUGAUGAUGUGGAAAAAUAUGAAUAAAUUUAAAUCUAAGAGUGCCUAAAUACGAGAGUGCACCGGUGAGUGGGAAUGAACCCACUUCACACGUGAUGUUAGAGCAUACGCAAGUACAGAAGAGUGAAUUAAGAUUCGUACCUUAGAACUAAUCUCCAAUACUAAGAAUUGCCACGAAUCUUCAACGAUAAGGAAGCUCAGUUGAUAAAACCUGGAGGGUGAAGACAAGACAAAGGUGAGUGGCCCUGCAAAUAAAAUUUUAAUAAAAACCAUAUAAAACAUUAUAACCCUUUGCUACAACACCUGUAUAAUUCCCAGAAAAUCAUAAAUAUACCACAACACAACAUCUCGUCAGCAAUAUCAAAUAAUCAUGUGAUUAAUAACUCAUACUAGUACACAAGUCGGAGUCACCUAUGGUGACUUGUACGACUUACCCAUAUCUCAUCACAUAUCUCAUCACAUAUACUAGUUCAUCACAUAUUUUAUCACAUAUGCUAGCUUAUCACAUAUCUCAUCACAUAUGCUAGC